AAACCGGUUUAACACAAACAUACAAUUACAAUAAUCAAUACCAGGGUACAUGUAUCAUGCUGGAAAAUUACGAAUGUGUCAGACGAAUUAUUUUGUUUUUCAUAGAAGAUAAACAAAAUCAUCGAGCUUUGCAGAACGAUGAAUCAGAAUGACUGAAUGACACUAAGUUUUGCAAAAUGGAUAUAUCCCUAACUUCCAUGGCCUUCGACAUAUUUGAGUGGGAUCCUGAAACAACCCCUGACACAACAACUUAAUUUACAAGAACAACCCUGCGUAUAAGAACUACAAUACUUCUGACAAAAACAAACAAAAGCAACUCCAGAUUUAUGAUCAACUCUGAUUACUAGAACAUGAACACCAACCCCAUCUUCAAGAACAACAACUUCAACCCCAGAACAUCAACACUUCCUGCAGGGACAACUACAAAAACAUCGGCUUCAAGAACAAAUUCAUCCUAAACACAAACAUCAGCAACAACAGCUACCCGAAUAAAACUACUCGAACUACAAGAACACCAUCACACACUCUUUAAGAACACCAGCAUCAUCAUCUUCUUCUAGACUUGCAAAUGCAACAAACACCAAUGACAAAGUUGAAUGGCUAACUUCAAUGGAGAGGAUAGAGUAAUGGCAAAAAGAGGAUCAUUUUAAAGAGCGGAGGAAGAGGGAUAUGUAAAGAGUGUUCUGAGGCCAGGAUAUCAGCAGUGCGUUCAGUCAGGCGAGCGUUUACAAAACGCUCGCAAACGUUUUGUUUUGUAUCUCUGUUGCAAAGCAGCGCAUAUACGUUAAGCGGGAAACCAAACAGCAAACGUUCGCCGCAAACAUCUUUA
Molecule: long non-coding RNA, 829 nt
Organism: Mya arenaria
Lineage: Eukaryota; Metazoa; Mollusca; Bivalvia; Myida; Myidae
Exons: 3
Source: RefSeq, a predicted model, not a curated record